UCGGGAAUUUUGGGCAAUGGGCGAAAGCCUGAUCCAGCCAUGCCGCGUGAGUGACGAAGGCCUUAGGGUUGUAAAACUCUUUCGUCGGGGACGAUAAUGACGGUACCCGAAGAAGAAGCUCCGGCUAACUUCGUGCCAGCAGCCGCGGUAAUACGAAGGGAGCUAGCGUUGUUCGGAAUCACUGGGCGUAAAGCGCACGUAGGCGGAUAGUUAAGUCAGGGGUGAAAUCCUGGGGCUCAACCCCAGAACUGCCUUUGAUACUGGCUGUCUCGAGGUCGAGAGAGGUUGGUGGAAUUCCUAGUGUAGAGGUGAAAUUCGUAGAUAUUAGGAAGAACACCAGUGGCGAAGGCGGCCAACUGGCUCGAUACUGACGCUGAGGUGCGAAAGCGUGGGGAGCAAACAGGAUUAGAUACCCCCGUAGUCCCUGAG
RNAcentral lists this ribosomal RNA (429 nucleotides) under uncultured bacterium. RNAcentral's name for it is "bacterial SSU rRNA". It matches the Rfam family "Bacterial small subunit ribosomal RNA", at positions 355 to 801 of the family's 1533-position model. The record is from RNAcentral.